This 164-nucleotide ribosomal RNA is filed under the name uncultured bacterium. RNAcentral describes it as "partial 16S ribosomal RNA". It matches the Rfam family "Bacterial small subunit ribosomal RNA", at positions 355 to 511 of the family's 1533-position model. The record is from RNAcentral.
UAGGGAAUCUUCCACAAUGGACGAAAGUCUGAUGGAGCAACGCCGCGUGAGCGAAGAAGGGUUUCGGCUCGUAAAACUCUGUUGUAAGAGAAGAAUGACAUUGAGAGUAACUGUUCAAUGCGUGACGGUAUCUUACCAGAAAGGAACGGCUAAAUACGUGCCAG